GUCUUUUGACCUUGAUCCCUAGAGCAGGUAUGGGUGGGGCUUUGGAUGACUAACUCCAAUCUCCAGCCUUUUCUCUAAUCCUAGGAAUUUUUUUUUCUCCCUGGAAGAGGAGUACAGUCAAGGAAGCUUGAUAACCAUGAGUUUGGAAAACUUGAAUUUACUCAGCAAUCUCUGGACCCAGAUUCCAAUUUGUGCUUUCCUUAUUGAAUCCCGGAAACCAGCAACCUUGAAGUAAUCUCCCUCUAUAUAGGCAGUUGGGGUCAAACUAAUCUCUUUGAAGCUAACCUGCAAAUCUGAGACAUGCCAGACUAUUAAGAAGAAAGUGAUGAAAAGGCAUUGCUGCUUCUUUCUCAGAGCAGGUCUUGGACUACAGCCCCACUGUCUCACCCUGGACGGAUGGUGGUAUCAGAAUUCUUCUACCCAGCAACAGAUUACCUCCCUUCAAUCAAGUUUGCCUUCAUAAGCUCUCAUCAUUGCUGGAUAGCAACUUGGUUGAAGUUUUCUUUUCCCUAAUUGCUGCUAUUCUCUUUUUAUGACUUCUCCACAGUCCCAUACAAAAGAGAAGGGGCUCAUCAACGAUUUAGAUGAGCAUACUAUUACUAUAAAAAGGACAAAAAAAGGUCAUUUUGUGAACAGAAUGACUUAAAAGCUAUAUUAACAUCUGAGGUAAUCAUUAGAUUUGAUUGUCCCCAAACCACAGUUGUCUCUUAACCAUUACAUCAAUAUUCCCAAAGGAUCCAGUCACUUCCCUCAGGACAGACACCCGUGGUUAUAUUGCACCAUGUCGUGUUAAAAAUCUUUGGCUCCAGUAAGACACAAAAUACUGCCCCCACCUUUAACCAAUCAUCAUGCCACUAAAAAUACUCCCCAUUUCCUGUAAACCCUUCAGAGGAAGCCACGCACCCAGGAUAGGCCCCAUUAAGUUUUCUAGGGCUUACAUGAGACAUGCUGCACAUGCCUUAAAUGAUUCCUUUGCAGGACUCCUGAAAGUGCUCACAUUCUCAGGGCAGUUACUACAAUCCUAGAACCAAAGCAGUCGUUGUUGACUGCCAGAUUUUAUUUUCCCUAUAAAAAUGAGCAAGCUCUGACACCUGGUGAAAUGUUAUUCUUCCGGAUGAGAGCCAAUUUUAUGAAAUCCAAGGCAUGUGGUAGACUAUGAACGCUUUAAAGGGGAAAAAAAAAGUUUUGGAUUCAGCAUGCUUUCCAUUUCUUAGACAGAGAGUAAGAACUGAAACGAUUUUCCUAAGAAGGCCCUGUAACUUGAUUCCACCUGAGUUCAGAGCCAUGGGAUUUGCCAUGCAUGUAAUAAAGUCACGGAGUUUUCCAUUUCAUACCCUACAAGUAUAUGAAGGUAAUAUUUCCUAUUAAAUAUCUGCAUUGUUUAAAGAAGCAGCAACAAAAACACAAUCUUUUCCAGAAAACUAAAUUUUAUGCUUGCAUACACAUUUUCAAGCAACAGAGUCCUCAAAUCUAGACUUCAAUUUGUUAUUGUUGUUGUUGUUACUAGUUGUUUUCCAGUCAUGUCUAACUCUUCUUGAGCUUAUUUGG
Non-coding RNA from Phascolarctos cinereus (koala), 1548 nucleotides. Lineage: Eukaryota; Metazoa; Chordata; Mammalia; Diprotodontia; Phascolarctidae. The record is from RefSeq and is a predicted model, not a curated record.